GUACACGCUGUGACUAGCAUAUCAAUAAGCGGAGGAAAAGAAACUAACAAGGAUUCCCCUAGUAACGGCGAGUGAAGCGGGAAGAGCUCAAAUUUGAAAUCUUAAAGGGUUUCCCUUUACGAAUUGUAGUUUAAAGAAGUGUUUUCUGUUGAGGUUUUGGUAAAAGUUCUUUGGAAUAGGACAUCAUAGAGGGUGAGAAUCCCGUAUUUGACCUUUACUUUCAACUUUGUGAUACACUUUCAAAGAGUCGGAUUGUUUGGGAAUGCAAUCCAAAAUGGGUGGUAAAUUUCAUCUAAAGCUAAAUAUUGGCGAGAGACCGAUAGCGAACAAGUACCGUGAGGGAAAGAUGAAAAGAACUUUGAAAAGAGAGUUAAACAGUACGUGAAAUUGUCAAAAGGGAAGCGUUUGACACCAGUGUUGUUUUUCUGAAAAUCAAUUAAAGAACUGUUUAUGCUAAGUUGUUUAGACUUUAUCAGCUAACUGUUUAGUUUUGAGCUUUUCUUUAAUGCACUUUUCAGUUAACAAGUCAACAUCAAUUUCUUUUGCUGUAAAAAAGCUUGAGGAAGGUGGCUUGAGAUUCGUCUUAAGUGUUUAUAGCCUCUUGCCUAUGCAGUCGGAGAGAUUGAGGUCUGCAGCGUAGAUCCUUCGGGGCUAAAUGCAUUUGUGCUAAGUUAUAGCAUUUUAUAGACAACUUGUUGACUAUGAUUUGUCUUGUAGCUUACUCGCUUAUGUUAUUUUACCUACGCUUAGGAUGUUGAAGAUGUAGCACAUCAU
This 774-nucleotide ribosomal RNA is filed under the name uncultured Neocallimastigales. Its description in RNAcentral is "partial large subunit ribosomal RNA". It matches the Rfam family "Eukaryotic large subunit ribosomal RNA", at positions 22 to 635 of the family's 3401-position model. Lineage: Eukaryota; Fungi; Neocallimastigomycota; Neocallimastigomycetes; Neocallimastigales. The record is from RNAcentral.